This 30-nucleotide non-coding RNA is filed under the name Mus musculus (house mouse). Lineage: Eukaryota; Metazoa; Chordata; Mammalia; Rodentia; Muridae. The record is from RNAcentral.
UGAGAGCAGGUGGUUCUUCCUUCAGGUAUU